This 360-nucleotide ribosomal RNA is filed under the name uncultured bacterium. Its description in RNAcentral is "partial 16S ribosomal RNA". It matches the Rfam family "Bacterial small subunit ribosomal RNA", at positions 338 to 696 of the family's 1533-position model. The record is from RNAcentral.
CCUACGGGGGGCAGCAGUGAGGAAUAUUGGUCAAUGGCCGGAAGGCUGAACCAGCCAAGCCGCGUGAGGGAGGAAGGCGCAGAGCGUCGCAGACCUCUUUUGCCGGGGGACAAAAGGCCGGACUCGUCCGGUCCUGAGGGUACCCGGAGAAAAAGCAUCGGCAAACUCCGUGCCAGCAGCCGCGGUAAUACGGAGGAUGCGAGCGUUAUCCGGAUUCAUUGGGUUUAAAGGGUGCGCAGGGGGGCCUUUAAGCCGGCGGUGAAAUCGCGGGGGUCAACCCCGCCGAGCCGUCGGAACGGGGGGCGUUGAGUGCGGCGGAGGCAUGCGGAAUGCGCGGUGUAGCGGGGAAAUGCAUAGAUA